RNAcentral lists this ribosomal RNA (243 nucleotides) under uncultured bacterium. Its description in RNAcentral is "partial 16S ribosomal RNA". It matches the Rfam family "Bacterial small subunit ribosomal RNA", at positions 793 to 1036 of the family's 1533-position model. The record is from RNAcentral.
GUCCACGCCCUAAACGUUGUGUACUAGGUGUCGGGGGUUUCAACGCCCUCGGUGCCGCCGCUAACGCAUUAAGUACACCGCCUGGGGAGUAUGCCCGCAAGGGUGAAACUCAAAGGAAUUGACGGGGGCCCGCACAAGCGGUGGAGCAUGUGGUUUAAUUCGACGAUACGCGAAGAACCUUACCCGGGCUUGACAUCUAGUGGACGGGCAUAGAGAUAUGCCUUCCUUUAUGGCCGCUAGACA